GAUGAACGCUGGCGGCGUGCUUAACACAUGCAAGUCGAACGGAAAGGCUCCUGCUUGCAGGGGUACUCGAGUGGCGAACGGGUGAGUAACACGUGGGUGAUCUGCCCUGCACUUCGGGAUAAGCCUGGGAAACUGGGUCUAAUACCGGAUAGGACGAUGGUCUGGAUGCCAUUGUGUAAAGUUUUUUCGGUGUGGGAUGAGCUCGCGGCCUAUCAGCUUGUUGGUGGGGUAAUGGCCUACCAAGGCGUCGACGGGUAGCCGGCCUGAGAGGGUGUACGGCCACAUUGGGACUGAGAUACGGCCCAGACUCCUACGGGAGGCAGCAGUGGGGAAUAUUGCACAAUGGGCGCAAGCCUGAUGCAGCGACGCCGCGUGGGGGAUGACGGCCUUCGGGUUGUAAACUCCUUUCGCUAGGGACGAAGCGCAAGUGACGGUACCUGGAGAAGAAGCACCGGCUAACUACGUG
This 466-nucleotide ribosomal RNA is filed under the name uncultured bacterium. Its description in RNAcentral is "partial 16S ribosomal RNA". It matches the Rfam family "Bacterial small subunit ribosomal RNA", at positions 28 to 507 of the family's 1533-position model. The record is from RNAcentral.